AAAGUCGUAACAAGGUUUCCGUAGGUGAACCUGCGGAAGGAUCAUUAUCGAAUGAAUGUAGAGUUGGUUGUCGCUGGCCUCUUCACCGGGGCAUGUGCACGCCUUCUCUUUCAUCCACACACACCUGUGCACUUGUGAGACGGAGGUCUUUCUCUUUCACGGGAGGAGGGUUUCCGUCUGCCAAUACAUAAACUCAUAUAUCUUAAACUGAAUGUAAUUGAUGUAACGCAUCUAUAAACUAAGUUUCAACAACGGAUCUCUUGGCUCUC
RNAcentral lists this unclassified non-coding RNA (269 nucleotides) under Basidiomycota sp. RNAcentral's name for it is "partial contains small subunit ribosomal RNA, internal transcribed spacer 1, and 5.8S ribosomal RNA". The stretch from base 1 to 47 matches the Rfam family "Eukaryotic small subunit ribosomal RNA", at positions 1785 to 1831 of the family's 1831-position model. The record is from RNAcentral. Lineage: Eukaryota; Fungi; Basidiomycota.